AAUGAACGCUGGCGGUGUGCCUAACACAUGCAAGUCGAACGGCAGCACACUAAGUUCCUGCGGUUACGGAUUGCGAGUGGGGGGCGUGUGAGGAAGACAUCGUAAUCUACUUUUUCGUGGGAGAUUACGUAAGGAAACUUACUAUCAGAUCGCAUACUACCUUCGGUGCAAAUCAGGAGAGCUUUUUACCUUUCGCGUUUGAUUGCGGCGUAUUCGGUUUAGCUUGUGGUGGUGGCAAAGGCCCACCAAGCCGAGGAUCCGUAGCUGGUCUGAGAGGGUGAUCAGCCACACUGGAACUGAGACACGGUCCAGAAUCCAACUGCAGGCAGCAGUGGGGAAUAUUGGACAAGGGGCGAAAGCCUGAUCAUGCCAUCCCGCGUGGGGGAAGAAGGCCUUGGGGUUGUAGAGCCCUUUUGUUGGGAAAGAUCAUCGGCAGAUUAAUACAGCGCUGUUCUGACGGUACCCAAAGAAUAAGCACCGGCUAACUUCGUG
RNAcentral lists this ribosomal RNA (492 nucleotides) under uncultured bacterium. RNAcentral describes it as "partial 16S ribosomal RNA". It matches the Rfam family "Bacterial small subunit ribosomal RNA", at positions 29 to 507 of the family's 1533-position model. The record is from RNAcentral.